This 253-nucleotide ribosomal RNA is filed under the name uncultured bacterium. Its description in RNAcentral is "partial 16S ribosomal RNA". It matches the Rfam family "Bacterial small subunit ribosomal RNA", at positions 524 to 776 of the family's 1533-position model. The record is from RNAcentral.
UACAGAGGUCUCAAGCGUUGUUCGGAUUCAUUGGGCGUAAAGGGUGCGUAGGCGGCGCGGUAAGUCGGGUGUGAAAUCUCGGAGCUUAACUCCGAAACUGCAUUCGAUACUGCCGUGCUUGAGGACUGGAGAGGAGACUGGAAUUUACGGUGUAGCGGUGAAAUGCGUAGAUAUCGUAAGGAAGACCAGUGGCGAAGGCGGGUCUCGGGACAGUUCCUGACGCUGAGGCACGAAGGUCAGGGGAGCAAACGGG